Molecule: small nucleolar RNA, 376 nt
Filed under: Gopherus evgoodei (Goodes thornscrub tortoise)
Lineage: Eukaryota; Metazoa; Chordata; Testudines; Testudinidae
Description: Small Cajal body-specific RNA 2 (ENSGEVG00005010028.1)
Rfam family: Small Cajal body-specific RNA 2
Source: Rfam by way of RNAcentral
UUUUGCGCACGAGGAGCACUGCAGGGGAGCGGACGGCGCGUGAGAGUGCGGGGAAGAGUGUGCACCUGAGCGAGCGUGGGGGUGCGGGGGUGGGGUGCGUGUGCAGGGGUGGGGGUGUGUGUGCGCAGCGUGUGGCCCUGCUGGAAUCCCGCCUACACGUUGAUCUUAUUCGAUCGGGCCGGGGGCGGCCGCCCGGCCCGAGAUGAGAAGACCCCUCCCGCGAAGCCCGCGGGCGCUGUGCGGGGCAGAGUUGGAGGCCGCAGCCGGCUCGCCCGGCGCUCAGAGGUGAUGAGUCGAUCAGAUAGAUGAGGCCGCGGGGCGGGUCCGCGCUGGCCCGAGCCCCCGGCCCAUGAGUAUCGAGGCGAUUCUGAUCUGA